AGAUAUUCAGAUCACUUCACGGAAUUGAGUCAGCUCGCGUUGUUUCAUACCUGAGAAUGGUAGAUUCCUUUGUUUCUAUCAACAUAGUAUCUAGGUUGAUAGAGACAGAGAAGAAGAAAGCACAGCUAAAGAAGAUUUUUGUAAAUAUUACUGAGUCUGAGGAUUGGGAGGAGGCAGAGUUGUUGUAUGAACAGCACACAAGUAAAAUAGAUGAUUUUUUGGUAAAUAUAAUAGAAAAAAUUUAUGCAAUCCUUUUAGAUUUUUAUUAGCUCACCUGGCCUAAAAGGCCAA
Molecule: long non-coding RNA, 291 nt
Filed under: Mytilus galloprovincialis (Mediterranean mussel)
Lineage: Eukaryota; Metazoa; Mollusca; Bivalvia; Mytilida; Mytilidae
Source: RNAcentral